This 497-nucleotide ribosomal RNA is filed under the name uncultured bacterium. RNAcentral describes it as "partial 16S ribosomal RNA". It matches the Rfam family "Bacterial small subunit ribosomal RNA", at positions 28 to 507 of the family's 1533-position model. The record is from RNAcentral.
GAUGAACGCUGGCGGCGUGCCUAAUACAUGCAAGUCGAGCGAACAGACGAGGAGCUUGCUCCUCUGACGUUAGCGGCGGACGGGUGAGUAACACGUGGAUAACCUACCUAUAAGACUGGGAUAACUUCGGGAAACCGGAGCUAAUACCGGAUAAUAUAUUGAACCGCAUGGUUCAAUAGUGAAAGACGGUUUUGCUGUCACUUAUAGAUGGAUCCGCGCCGCAUUAGCUAGUUGGUAAGGUAACGGCUUACCAAGGCAACGAUGCGUAGCCGACCUGAGAGGGGGAGGGGCGAAGCUGGGACUGAGACACGGUCAAGAAGAAGACGUGAGGCAGCAGCAGGGAAGCGGACGUAAGGGUCGAAAGAUUGAAGGAGUAAACAAGCGGGAGAGAUGAAGGGUUUAGGAACCUAAGACCGUGUUAUCAGGGAAGAACAAAUGCGUAAGGAAAGACGAAGGGCCUGACGGUACGUAAUAAGAAAGCCAAGGCUAAAUACGUG